Molecule: long non-coding RNA, 541 nt
Filed under: Dasypus novemcinctus (nine-banded armadillo)
Lineage: Eukaryota; Metazoa; Chordata; Mammalia; Cingulata; Dasypodidae
Description: lncRNA (ENSDNOG00000049873.1)
Source: RNAcentral
UUGAGGAUUUACAUUUUUAUUCUAUUUCUUGAUUCUUUGACUACAAAAGACAAAAUUCCAUUUGAAGACAGAUAUCCUCAGCAAGAAAGUAUGAGGAUCUAGUGAAGUCUCCAUUAGCAGCCAGCAUCCAAGGCUUAUCUACAGAAGGGCAUCCUUCUCAUCAUUUCACUUUGCUUUUUUCAGAACAAGAGAGAUAUCUACAAGCCAACAACAGAGAAUUCAAUGCAUUAUUUGGAUAUCCGUUGAUUCCCCAGAUCUCCUCCUUGGCAUGGUACACAACUGUGAUACCCCUGAUGGUGGUGCUGUCCAUGACAGGAGUGAAAGAUGCCGUCGAUGACUUGGUGAAGUGACUUCCUGGGCCUCUGGUCCUUCACUGUAUCUAGUCAGGGUGUGGGGCAAGAAGAACUUCCCAGAACUAUAUAGUACUAAAAAGAGCUGGGGGGGGGGAGGGGAAAAAGAUGUUUCCUUUGUUUCCUUAUAUCCCGGAAAAAUAUGAAGUUCCUUUAGGCCCAAGAUUGGUGGUCAAUGCACAGCCAAAGAG